RNAcentral lists this ribosomal RNA (111 nucleotides) under Bacteroidaceae bacterium HV4-6-C5C. Lineage: Bacteria; Pseudomonadati; Bacteroidota; Bacteroidia; Bacteroidales; Bacteroidaceae. The record is from RNAcentral.
UCAGGUGACUAUAGCACAAGGGUUCCACCUCUUCCCAUUCCGCACAGAGAAGUUAAGCCUUGUCACGCCGAUGGUACUGCGUAACAGUGGGAGAGUAGGUAGUCGCCACUU